AAACGUCAAAAAAGCAAAAGGGAGGGGAUGCAACACGAGGACUUCCCAGGAGGUCACCCAUCCUAGUACUACUCUCGCCCAAACUCGCUUAACUUCGGAGUUCUGAUGGGAUCCGGUGCAUGUGAGUUGGUAUGAUCGCAUCUGUUAGCUUGUAACGCCAAAUUGUAUAAGAGCCACGUUUGUGCCGUGCCAUGUGACCAUGGGUUGGCUAUCCAACGCCCCCCUCCGGGCCGCGUGAAAUCACAUGCCGUCGCAUGGAAUGUCAGGCCUUGUCGUCCCCACCCCGGCCCUGUGCCACGGGCAGGCCUGUCGAGGCCCCGGUUCCAAUCGGCCGCGGGGCCUGGCUAACACAGUUGAACCGAAAAGAAGUUCCCCAACAGUUUCGGCAGUGCGUCGGUCCCGCUGUUUUUUCGCUUUCGUUCCUUUCCGGAGCCUAGUUAGUUGGAGGCGAGCUCCACGGGGUGACGUAGGAUGAGGAGCUGGAGCGGCGCGCGUGACGCGGCAAGUCGGGUAAACCGCAGAUCUGGGCUCCGACCUCAGAAUUGGGCCCACGAACCCUCGGCCGGAAGAGAACGGCGUCACGAGUAAAACUCAUUGCGUUGCCAUGACCUGUGGGCUUUUUCGGGCAUCCGACAUCGUUUACUAGCCCGAAAUCCAAUUCUCGCAGUUUUCGAAAACUCUGUUAUUUUCCCACUUCAAUUCCGCUGUUAAUCCAAGGCUUUCUAGGAGUAUUUGAGCAAACUUUACCCAGAUUGCCACGCUGCGUCACGGGGCCGCGGAAAAACAAAGAACAGCCACGGCGGAAAGCGGACGUCCGCGACAAUCGAAACGUCAAAAAAGCAAAAGGGAGGGGAUGCAACACGAGGACUUCCCAGGAGGUCACCCAUCCUAGUACUACUCUCGCCCAAACUCGCUUAACUUCGGAGUUCUGAUGGGAUCCGGUGCAUGUGAGUUGGUAUGAUCGCAUCCGUUAGCUUGUAACGCCAAAUUGUAUAAGAGCCACGUUUGUGCCGUGCCAUGUGACCAUGGGUUGGCUAUCCAACGCCCCCCUCCGGGCCGCGUGAAAUCACAUGCCGUCGCAUGGAAUGUCAGGCCUUGUCGUCCCCACCCCGGCCCUGUGCCACGGGCAGGCCUGUCGAGGCCCCGGUUCCAAUCGGCCGCGGGGCCUGGCUAACACAGUUGAACCGAAAAGAAGUUCCCCAACAGUUUCGGCAGUGCGUCGGUCCCGCUGUUUUUUCGCUUUCGUUCCUUUCCGGAGCCUAGUUAGUUGGAGGCGAGCUCCACGGGGUGACGUAGGAUGAGGAGCUGGAGCGGCGCGCGUGACGCGGCAAGUCGGGUAAACCGCAGAUCUGGGCUCCGACCUCAGAAUUGGGCCCACGAACCCUCGGCCGGAAGAGAACGGCGUCACGAGUAAAACUCAUUGCGUUGCCAUGACCUGUGGGCUUUUUCGGGCAUCCGACAUCGUUUACUAGCCCGAAAUCCAAUUCUCGCAGUUUUCGAAAACUCUGUUAUUUUCCCACUUCAAUUCCGCUGUUAAUCCAAGGCUUUCUAGGAGUAUUUGAGCAAACUUUACCCAGAUUGCCACGCUGCGUCACGGGGCCGCGGAAAAACAAAGAACAGCCACGGCGGAGAGCGGACGUCCGCGACAAUCGAAACGUCAAAAAAGCAAAAGGGAGGGGAUGCAACACGAGGACUUCCCAGGAGGUCACCCAUCCUAGUACUACUCUCGCCCAAACUCGCUCAACUUCGGAGUUCUGAUGGGAUCCGGUGCAUGUGAGUUGGUAUGAUCGCAUCCGUUAGCUUGUAACGCCAAAUUGUAUAAGAGCCACGUUUGUGCCGUGCCAUGUGACCAUGGGUUGGCUAUCCAACGCCCCCCUCCGGGCCGCGUGAAAUCACAUGCCGUCGCAUGGAAUGUCAGGCCUUGUCGUCCCCACCCCGGCCCUGUGCCACGGGCAGGCCUGUCGAGGCCCCGGUUCCAAUCGGCCGCGGGGCCUGGCUAACACAGUUGAACCGAAAAGAAGUUCCCCAACAGUUUCGGCGGUGCGUCGGUCCCGCUGUUUUUUCGCUUUCGUUCCUUUCCGGAGCCUAGUUAGUUGGAGGCGAGCUCCACGGGGUGACGUAGGACAGAUGGCGGAAGCAACUGAAGAGGAGCUGGAGCGGCGCGCGUGACGCGGCAAGUCGGGUAAACCGCAGAUCUGGGCUCCGACCUCAGAAUUGGGCCCACGAACCCUCGACCGGAAGAGAACGGCGUCACGAGUAAAACUCAUUGCGUUGCCAUGACCUGUGGGCUUUUUCGGGCAUCCGACAUCGUUUACUAGCCCGAAAUCCAAUUCUCGCAGUUUUCGAAAACUCUGUUAUUUUCCCACUUCAAUUCCGCUGUUAAUCCAAGGCUUUCUAGGAGUAUUUGAGGAAACUUUACCCAGAUUGCCACGCUGCGUCACGGGGCCGCGGAAAAACAAAGAACAGCCACGGCGGAAAGCGGACGCCCGCGACAAUCGAAACGUCAAAAAAGCAAAAGGGAGGGGAUGCAACACGAGGACUUCCCAGGAGGUCACCCAUCCUAGUACUACUCUCGCCCAAACUCGCUUAACUUCGGAGUUCUGAUGGGAUCCGGUGCAUGUGAGUUGGUAUGAUCGCAUCCGUUAGCUUGUAACGCCAAAUUGUAUAAGAGCCACGUUUGUGCCGUGCCAUGUGACUAUGGGUUGGCUAUCCAACGCCCCCCUCCGGGCCGCGUGAAAUCACAUGCCGUCGCAUGGAAUGUCAGGCCUUGUCGUCCCCACCCCGGCCCUGUGCCACGGGCAGGCCUGUCGAGGCCCCGGUUCCAAUCGGCCGCGGGGCCUAGCUAACGACAAUUGAACCGAAAAGAAGUUCCCCAACAGUUUCGGCAGUGCGUCGGUCCCGCUGUUUUUUCGUUUUCGUUCCUUUCCGGAGCCUAGUUAGUUGGAGGCGAGCUCCACGGGGUGACGUAGGACAGAUGGCGGAAGCAACUGAAGAGGAGCUGGAGCGGCGCGCGUGAAGCGGCAAGUCGGGUAAACCGCAGAUCUGGGCUCCGACCUCAGAAUUGGGCCCACGAACCCUCGACCGGAAGAGAAUGGCGUCCACGAGUAAAACUCAUCGCGUUGCCAUGACCUGUGGGCUUUUUCGGGCAUCCGACAUCGUUUACUAGCCCGAAAUCCAAUUCUCGCAGUUUUCGAAAACUCUGUUAUUUUCCCACUUCAAUUCCGCUGUUAAUCCAAGGCUUUCUAGGAGUAUUUGAGCAAACUUUACCCAGAUUGCCACGCUGCGUCACGGGGCCCGCGGAAAAACAACGAACAGCCACGGCGGAAAGCGGACGCCCGCGACAAUCGAAACGUCAAAAAAGCAAAAGGGAGGGGAUGCAACACGAGGACUUCCCAGGAGGUCACCCAUCCUAGUACUACUCUCGCCCAAACUCGCUUAACUUCGGAGUUCUGAUGGGAUCCGGUGCAUGUGAGUUGGUAUGAUCGCAUCCGUUAGCUUGUAACGCCAAAUUGUAUAAGAGCCACGUUUGUGCCGUGCCAUGUGACCAUGGGUUGGCUAUCCAACGCCCCCCUCCGGGCCGCGUGAAAUCACAUGCCGUCGCAUGGAAUGUCAGGCCUUGUCGUCCCCACCCCGGCCCUGUGCCACGGGCAGGCCUGUCGAGGCCCCGGUUCCAAUCGGCCGCGGGGCCUGGCUAACACAGUUGAACCGAAAAGAAGUUCCCCAACAGUUUCGGCAGUGCGUCGGUCCCGCUGUUUUUUCGCUUUCGUUCCUUUCCGGAGCCUAGUUAGUUGGAGGCGAGCUCCACGGGGUGACGUAGGACAGAUGGCGGAAGCAACUGAAGAGGAGCUGGAGCGGCGCGCGUGACGCGGCAAGUCGGGUAAACCGCAGAUCUGGGCUCCGACCUCAGAAUUGGGCCCACGAACCCUCGACCGGAAGAGAACGGCGUCACGAGUAAAACUCAUUGCGUUGCCAUGACCUGUGGGCUUUUUCGGGCAUCCGACAUCGUUUACUAGCCCGAAUCCAAUUCUCGCAGUUUUCGAAACUCUGUUAUUUUCCCACUUCAAUUUCCGCUGUUAAUCCAAGGCUUUCUAGGAGUAUUUGAGCAAACUUUACCCAGAUUGCCACGCUGCGUCACGGGGCCGCGGAAAAACAAGAACAGUCACUGCGGAAAGCGGACGUCUGCGACAAUCGAACCGUCAAAAAGCAAAAGGGAGGGGAUGCNNNNNNNNNNNNNNNNNNNNNNNNNNNNNNNNNNNNNNNNNNNNNNNNNNNNNNNNNNNNNNNNNNNNNNNNNNNNNNNNNNNNNNNNNNNNNNNNNNNNGAGUUGGUAUGAUCGCAUCCGUAGCUUGUAACGCCAAAUUGUAUAAGAGCCACGUUUGUGCCGUGCCAUGUGACCAUGGGUUGGCUAUCCAACGCCCCCUCCGGGCCGCGUGAAAUCACAUGCCGUCGCAUGGAAUGUCAGGCCUUGUCAUCCCCACCCCGGCCCUGUGCCACGGGCAGGCCUGUCGAGGCCCCGGUUCCAAUCGGCCGCGGGGCCUAGCUAACGACAAUUGAACCGAAAAGAAGUUCCCCAACAGUUUCGGCAGUGCGUCGGUCCCGCUGUUUUUUCGUUUUCGUUCCUUUCCGGAGCCUAGUUAGUUGGAGGCGAGCUCCAUGGGGUGACGUAGGACAGAUGGCGGAAGCAACUGAAGAGGAGCUGGAGCGGCGCGCGUGAAGCGGCAAGUCGGGUAAACCGCAGAUCUGGGCUUCGACCUCAGAAUUGGGCACACGAACCCUCGGCCGGAAGAGAACGGCGUCACGAGUAAAACUCAUCGCGUUGCCAUGACCUGUGGGCUUUUUCGGGCAUCCGACAUCGUUUACUAGCCCGAAAUCCAAUUCUCGCAGUUUUCGAAAACUCUGUUAUUUUCCCACUUCAAUUCCGCUGUUAAUCCAAGGCUUUCUAGGAGUAUUUGAGCAAACUUUACCCAGAUUGCCACGCUGCGUCACGGGGCCGCGGAAAAACAAAGAACAGCCACGGCGGAAAGCGGACGCCCGCGACAAUCGAAACGUCAAAAAAGCAAAAGGGAGGGGAUGCAACACGAGGACUUCCCAGGAGGUCACCCAUCCUAGUACUACUCUCGCCCAAACUCGCUUAACUUCGGAGUUCUGAUGGGAUCCGGUGCAUGUGAGUUGGUAUGAUCGCAUCCGUUAGCUUGUAACGCCAAAUUGUAUAAGAGCCACGUUUGUGCCGUGCCAUGUGACCAUGGGUUGGCUAUCCAACGCCCCCCUCCGGGCCGCGUGAAAUCACAUGCCGUCGCAUGGAAUGUCAGGCCUUGUCGUCCCCACCCCGGCCCUGUGCCACGGGCAGGCCUGUCGAGGCCCCGGUUCCAAUCGGCCGCGGGGCCUGGCUAACACAGUUGAACCGAAAAGAAGUUCCCCAACAGUUUCGGCAGUGCGUCGGUCCCGCUGUUUUUUCGCUUUCGUUCCUUUCCGGAGCCUAGUUAGUUGGAGGCGAGCUCCACGGGGUGACGUAGGACAGAUGGCGGAAGCAACUGAAGAGGAGCUGGAGCGGCGCGCGUGACGCGGCAAGUCGGGUAAACCGCAGAUCUGGGCUCCGACCUCAGAAUUGGGCCCACGAACCCUCGACCGGAAGAGAACGGCGUCACGAGUAAAACUCAUCGCGUUGCCAUGACCUGUGGGCUUUUUCGGGCAUCCGACAUCGUUUACUAGCCCGAAAUCCAAUUCUCGCAGUUUUCGAAAACUCUGUUAUUUUCCCACUUCAAUUCCGCUGUUAAUCCAAGGCUUUCUAGGAGUAUUUGAGCAAACUUUACCCAGAUUGCCACGCUGCGUCACGGGGCCGCGGAAAAACAAAGAACAGCCACGGCGGAAAGCGGACGCCCGCGACAAUCGAAACGUCAAAAAAGCAAAAGGGAGGGGAUGCAACACGAGGACUUCCCAGGAGGUCACCCAUCCUAGUACUACUCUCGCCCAAACUCGCUUAACUUCGGAGUUCUGAUGGGAUCCGGUGCAUGUGAGUUGGUAUGAUCGCAUCCGUUAGCUUGUAACGCCAAAUUGUAUAAGAGCCACGUUUGUGCCGUGCCAUGUGACCAUGGGUUGGCUAUCCAACGCCCCCCUCCGGGCCGCGUGAAAUCACAUGCCGUCGCAUGGAAUGUCAGGCCUUGUCGUCCCCACCCCGGCCCUGUGCCACGGGCAGGCCUGUCGAGGCCCCGGUUCCAAUCGGCCGCGGGGCCUGGCUAACACAGUUGAACCGAAAAGAAGUUCCCCAACAGUUUCGGCAGUGCGUCGGUCCCGCUGUUUUUUCGCUUUCGUUCCUUUCCGGAGCCUAGUUAGUUGGAGGCGAGCUCCACGGGGUGACGUAGGACAGAUGGCGGAAGCAACUGAAGAGGAGCUGGAGCGGCGCGCGUGACGCGGCAAGUCGGGUAAACCGCAGAUCUGGGCUCCGACCUCAGAAUUGGGCCCACGAACCCUCGACCGGAAGAGAACGGCGUCACGAGUAAAACUCAUUGCGUUGCCAUGACCUGUGGGCUUUUUCGGGCAUCCGACAUCGUUUACUAGCCCGAAAUCCAAUUCUCGCAGUUUUCGAAAACUCUGUUAUUUUCCCACUUCAAUUCCGCUGUUAAUUCAAGGCUUUCUAGGAGUAUUUGAGCAAACUUUACCCAGAUUGCCACGCUGCGUCACGGGGCCGCGGAAAAACAAAGAACAGCCACGGCGGAAAGCGGACGCCCGCGACAAUCGAAACGUCAAAAAAGCAAAAGGGAGGGGACGCAACACGAGGACUUCCCAGGAGGUCACCCAUCCUAGUACUACUCUCGCCCAAACUCGCUUAACUUCGGAGUUCUUAUGGGAUCCGGUGCUUGUGAGUUGGUAUGAUCGCAUCCGUUAGCUUGUAACGCCAAAUUGUAUAAGAGCCACGUUUGUGCCGUGCCAUGUGACCAUGGGUUGGCUAUCCAACGCCCCCCUCCGGGCCGCGUGAAAUCACAUGCCGUCGCAUGGAAUGUCAGGCCUUGUCAUCCCCACCCCGGCCCUGUGCCACGGGCAGGCCUGUCGAGGCCCCGGUUCCAAUCGGCCGCGGGGCCUAGCUAACGACAAUUGAACCGAAAAGAAGUUCCCCAACAGUUUCGGCAGUGCGUCGGUCCCGCUGUUUUUUCGUUUUCGUUCCUUUCCGGAGCCUAGUUAGUUGGAGGCGAGCUCCAUGGGGUGACGUAGGACAGAUGGCGGAAGCAACUGAAGAGGAGCUGGAGCGGCGCGCGUGAAGCGGCAAGUCGGGUAAACCGCAGAUCUGGGCUUCGACCUCAGAAUUGGGCACACGAACCCUCGGCCGGAAGAGAACGGCGUCACGAGUAAAACUCAUCGCGUUGCCAUGACCUGUGGGCUUUUUCGGGCAUCCGACAUCGUUUACUAGCCCGAAAUCCAAUUCUCGCAGUUUUCGAAAACUCUGUUAUUUUCCCACUUCAAUUCCGCUGUUAAUCCAAGGCUUUCUAGGAGUAUUUGAGCAAACUUUACCCAGAUUGCCACGCUGCGUCACGGGGCCGCGGAAAAACAAAGAACAGCCACGGCGGAAAGCGGACGCCCGCGACAAUCGAAACGUCAAAAAAGCAAAAGGGAGGGGAUGCAACACGAGGACUUCCCAGGAGGUCACCCAUCCUAGUACUACUCUCGCCCAAACUCGCUUCACUUCGGAGUUCUGAUGGGAUCCGGUGCAUGUGAGUUGGUAUGAUCGCAUCCGUUAGCCUGUAACGCCAAAUUGUAUAAGAGCCACGUUUGUGCCGUGCCAUGUGACCAUGGGUUGGCUAUCCAACGCCCCCCUCCGGGCCGCGUGAAAUCGCAUGCCGUCGCAUGGAAUGUCAGGCCUUGUCGUCCCCACCCCGGUCCUGUGCCACGGGCAGGCCUGUCGAGGCCCCGGUUCCAAUCGGCCGCGGGGCCUAGCUAACGACAAUUGAACCGAAAAGAAGUUCCCCAACAGUUUCGGCAGUGCGUCGGUCCCGCUGUUUUUUCGCUUUCGUUCCUUUCCGGAGCCUAGUUAGUUGGAGGCGAGCUCCACGGGGUGACGUAGGACAGAUGGCGGAAGCAACUGAAGAGGAGCUGGAGCGGCGCGCGUGAAGCGGCAAGUCGGGUAAACCGCAGAUCUGGGCUCCGACCUCAGAAUUGGGCACACGAACCCUCGGUCGGAAGAGAACGGCGUCACGAGUAAAACUCAUUGCGUUGCCAUGACCUGUGGGCUUUUUCGGGCAUCCGACAUCGUUUACUAGCCCGAAAUCCAAUUCUCGCAGUUUUCGAAAACUCUGUUAUUUUCCCACUUCAAUUCCGCUGUUAAUCCAAGGCUUUCUAGGAGUAUUUGAGCAAACUUUACCCAGAUUGCCACGCUGCGUCACGGGGCCGCGGAAAAACAAAGAACAGCCACGGCGGAAAGCGGACGCCCGCGACAAUCGAAACGUCAAAAAAGCAAAAGGGAGGGGAUGCAACACGAGGACUUCCCAGGAGGUCACCCAUCCUAGUACUACUCUCGCCCAAACUCGCUUAACUUCGGAGUUCUGAUGGGAUCCGGUGCAUGUGAGUUGGUAUGAUCGCAUCCGUUAGCUUGUAACGCCAAAUUGUAUAAGAGCCACGUUUGUGCCAUGCCAUGUGACCAUGGGUUGGCUAUCCAACGCCCCCCUCCGGGCCGCGUGAAAUCACAUGCCGUCGCAUGGAAUGUCAGGCCUUGUCGUCCCCACCCCGGCCCUGUGCCACGGGCAGGCCUGUCGAGGCCCCGGUUCCAAUCGGCCGCGGGGCCUAGCUAACGACAAUUGAACCGAAAAGAAGUUCCCCAACUGUUUCGGCAGUGCGUCGGUCCCGCUGUUUUUCGUUUUCGUCUUUUCCGGAGCAUAGUUAGCUGGAAUGCACGCUGCGUCACGGGGUCGCGGAAAAACAAGAACAGGCCACGGCGGAAAGCGGACGCCCGCGACAAUCGAAACGUCAAAAAAGCAAAAGGGAGGGGAUGCAACACGAGGACUUCCCAGGAGGUCACCCAUCCUAGUACUACUCUCGCCCAAACUCGCUUAACUUCGGAGUUCUGAUGGGAUCCGGUGCAUGUGAGUUGGUAUGAUCGCAUCCGUUAGCUUGUAACGCCAAAUUGUAUAAGAGCCACGUUUGUGCCGUGCCAUGUGACCAUGGGUUGGCUAUCCAACGCCCCCCUCCGGGCCGCGUGAAAUCACAUGCCGUCGCAUGGAAUGUCAGGCCUUGUCGUCCCCACCCCGGCCCUGUGCCACGGGCAGGCCUGUCGAGGCCCCGGUUCCAAUCGGCCGCGGGGCCUGGCUAACACAGUUGAACCGAAAAGAAGUUCCCCAACAGUUUCGGCAGUGCGUCGGUCCCGCUGUUUUUUCGCUUUCGUUCCUUUCCGGAGCCUAGUUAGUUGGAGGCGAGCUCCACGGGGUGACGUAGGACAGAUGGCGGAAGCAACUGAAGAGGAGCUGGAGCGGCGCGCGUGACGCGGCAAGUCGGGUAAACCGCAGAUCUGGGCUCCGACCUCAGAAUUGGGCCCACGAACCCUCGACCGGAAGAGAACGGCGUCACGAGUAAAACUCAUUGCGUUGCCAUGACCUGUGGGCUUUUUCGGGCAUCCGACAUCGUUUACUAGCCCGAAAUGCAAUUCUCGCAGUUUUCGAAAACUCUGUUAUUUUCCCACUUCAAUUCCGCUGUUAAUCCAAGGCUUUCUAGGAGUAUUUGAGCAAACUUUACCCAGAUUGCCACGCUGCGUCACGGGGCCGCGGAAAAACAAAGAACAGCCACGGCGGAAAGCGGACGCCCGCGACAAUCGAAACGUCAAAAAAGCAAAAGGGAGGGGAUGCAACACGAGGACUUCCCAGGAGGUCACCCAUCCUAGUACUACUCUCGCCCAAACUCGCUUAACUUCGGAGUUCUGAUGGGAUCCGGUGCAUGUGAGUUGGUAUGAUCGCAUCCGUUAGCUUGUAACGCCAAAUUGUAUAAGAGCCACGUUUGUGCCGUGCCAUGUGACCAUGGGUUGGCUAUCCAACGCCCCCCUCCGGGCCGCGUGAAAUCACAUGCCGUCGCAUGGAAUGUCAGGCCUUGUCGUCCCCACCCCGGCCCUGUGCCACGGGCAGGCCUGUCGAGGCCCCGGUUCCAAUCGGCCGCGGGGCCUGGCUAACGACAGUUGAACCGAAAAGAAGUUCCCCAACAGUUUCGGCAGUGCGUCGGUCCCGCUGUUUUUUCGCUUUCGUUCCUUUCCGGAGCCUAGUUAGUUGGAGGCGAGCUGCACGGGGUGACGUAGGACAGAUGGCGGAAGCAACUGAAGAGGAGCUGGAGCGGCGCGCGUGAAGCGGCAAGUCGGGUAAACCGCAGAUCUGGGCUCCGACCUCAGAAUUGGGCACACGAACCCUCGGCCGGAAGAGAACGGCGUCACGAGUAAAACUCAUCGCGUUGCCAUGACCUGUGGGCUUUUUCGGGCAUCCGACAUCGUUUACUAGCCCGAAAUCCAAUUCUCGCAGUUUUCGAAAACUCUGUUAUUUUCCCACUUCAAUUCCGCUGUUAAUCCAAGGCUUUCUAGGAGUAUUUGAGCAAACUUUACCCAGAUUGCCACGCUGCGUCACGGGGCCGCGGAAAAACAAAGAACAGCCACGGCGGAAAGCGGACGCCCGCGACAAUCGAAACGUCAAAAAAGCAAAAGGGAGGGGAUGCAACACGAGGACUUCCCAGGAGGUCACCCAUCCUAGUACUACUCUCGCCCAAACUCGCUUAACUUCGGAGUUCUGAUGGGAUCCGGUGCAUGGGAGUUGGUAUGAUCGCAUCCGUUAGCUUGUAACGCCAAAUUGUAUAAGAGCCACGUUUGUGCCGUGCCAUGUGACCAUGGGUUGGCUAUCCAACGUCCCCCUCCGGGCCGCGUGAAAUCACAUGCCGUCGCAUGGAAUGUCAGGCCUUGUCGUCCCCACCCCGGCCCUGUGCCACGGGCAGGCCUGUCGAGGCCCCGGUUCCAAUCGGCCGCGGGGCCUAGCUAACACAGUUGAACCGAAAAGAAGUUCCCCAACAGUUUCGGCAGUGCGUCGGUCCCGCUGUUUUUUCGCUUUCGUUCCUUUCCGGAGCCUAGUUAGUUGGAGGCGAGCUCCACGGGGUGACGUAGGACAGAUGGCGGAAGCAACUGAAGAGGAGCUGGAGCGGCGCGCGUGAAGCGGCAAGUCGGGUAAACCGCAGAUCUGGGCUCCGACCUCAGAAUAGGGCACACGAACCCUCGGCCGGAAGAGAACGGCGUCACGAGUAAAACUCAUCGCGAUGCCAUGACCUGUGGGCUUUUUCGGGCAUCCGACAUCGUUUACUAGCCCGAAAUCCAAUUCUCGCAGUUUUCGAAAACUCUGUUAUUUUCCCACUUCAAUUCCGCUGUUAAUCCAAGGCUUUCUAGGAGUAUUUGAGCAAACUUUACCCAGAUUGCCACGCUGCGUCACGGGGCCGCGGAAAAACAAAGAACAGCCACGGCGGAAGCGGACGCCCGCGACAAUCGAAACGUCAAAAAAGCAAAAGGGAGGGGAUGCAACACGAGGACUUCCCAGGAGGUCACCCAUCCUAGUACUACUCUCGCCCAAACUCGCUUAACUUCGGAGUUCUGAUGGGAUCCGGUGCAUGUGAGUUGGUAUGAUCGCAUCCGUUAGCUUGUAACGCCAAAUUGUAUAAGAGCCACGUUUGUGCCGUGCCAUGUGACCAUGGGUUGGCUAUCCAACGCCCCCCUCCGGGCCGCGUGAAAUCACAUGCCGUCGCAUGGAAUGUCAGGCCUUGUCGUCCCCACCCCGGCCCUGUGCCACGGGCAGGCCUGUCGAGGCCCCGGUUCCAAUCGGCCGCGGGGCCUGGCUAACACAGUUGAACCGAAAAGAAGUUCCCCAACAGUUUCGGCAGUGCGUCGGUCCCGCUGUUUUUUCGCUUUCGUUCCUUUCCGGAGCCUAGUUAGUUGGAGGCGAGCUCCACGGGGUGACGUAGGACAGAUGGCGGAAGCAACUGAAGAGGAGCUGGAGCGGCGCGCGUGACGCGGCAAGUCGGGUAAACCGCAGAUCUGGGCUCCGACCUCAGAAUUGGGCCCACGAACCCUCGACCGGAAGAGAACGGCGUCACGAGUAAAACUCAUUGCGUUGCCAUGACCUGUGGGCUUUUUCGGGCAUCCGACAUCGUUUACUAGCCCGAAAUCCAAUUCUCGCAGUUUUCGAAAACUCUGUUAUUUUCCCACUUCAAUUCCGCUGUUAAUCCAAGGCUUUCUAGGAGUAUUUGAGCAAACUUUACCCAGAUUGCCACGCUGCGUCACGGGGCCGCGGAAAAACAAAGAACAGCCACGGCGGAAAGCGGACGCCCGCGACAAUCGAAACGUCAAAAAGCAAAGGGAGGGGAUGCAACACGAGGACUUCCCAGGAGGUCACCCAUCCUAGUACUACUCUCGCCCAAACUCGCUUAACUUCGGAGUUCUGAUGGGAUCCGGUGCAUGUGAGUUGGUAUGAUCGCAUCCGUUAGCUUGCAACGCUAAAAGUAUAUAAGCCACGCCAAAUGGCCUGCCUAACGACAAUUGAACGCGAAAAACCCCCGAUAAUUCCGGCAGUGCGUCGGUCCCGCUCCUUCCGACACCCAGUUGAUUGGAGACGGGCUCCUCGAGGUGACGUCGGAAGCAGUUGAAGAGCAGCUGGAGCGACGCGCGUAUCGGGUGAACCGCAUAUCUGGGCUCCGACCUCAGAAUCAGGCCCACGAGCAGUCGAUUUGAAGAGAACGGCGUCACGAGUAAAACUCAUGGCGCUGCCAUGACUGACGGGCUUUUUCGGGCAUCCGACACCGUUUGCUGGGGCGAAAUUCAGUUUCGGGAAACUUUGUCACUUUCGUAUUUUGAUUCCGUUGUGGGCUUUCUGGGAGUAUUUAAGCGUACUUUAUCCCCGAUUGCCACGCUGCGUCACGGGGUCGUGGAAAAACAAAGACAGCCAGAUGAAUAAGACGACGGAAAGCAAACGCCCACGACAAUUCAAACGUCAAAAAGACAUAAAGAGGAGACGCAACACGAGGACUUCCCAGGAGGUCACCCAUCCUAGUACUACUCUCGCCCAAACUCUCUUAACUUCGGAGUUCUGGUGGGAUCCGGUGCAUGUGAGUUGGUAUGAUCGCAUCCGUUGGCUUACAACGCCUAAAAGUAUAUAAGCCACGUUUGAGCCAUGCCAUAUGGCCUACCUAACGACAAUUGAACGCGAAAAAACCCCCGAUAAUUCCGACAGUGCGUCGGUCCCGCUCCUUUCCGGCACCCAGUUAAUUGGAGACGGGCACCUCGGGGUGACGUCGGAAGCAGUUGAAGAGGAGCUGGAGCGACGCGCGUAUCGGGUAAACCUCAUAUCUGUGCUCCGACCUCAG
RNAcentral lists this long non-coding RNA (13353 nucleotides) under Prunus persica (peach). RNAcentral describes it as "long non-coding RNA (PPER_LNC007985)". Lineage: Eukaryota; Viridiplantae; Streptophyta; Magnoliopsida; Rosales; Rosaceae. The record is from RNAcentral.